Molecule: ribosomal RNA, 459 nt
Filed under: uncultured bacterium
Lineage: Bacteria
Description: partial 16S ribosomal RNA
Rfam family: Bacterial small subunit ribosomal RNA
Source: RNAcentral
CCUACGGGUGGCAGCAGUGAGGAAUAUUGGUCAAUGGGCGGAAGCCUGAACCAGCCAAGUCGCGUGCGGGAAGACGGUCCUAUGGGUUGUAAACCUCUUUUGUCGAAGAACAAACGCGCCCACGUGUGUGCGGCUGAGUGUACCCGAAGAAAAAGCAUCGGCUAACUCCGUGCCAGCAGCCGCGGUAAUACGGAGGAUGCGAGCGUUAUCCGGAUUUAUUGGGUUUAAAGGGUGCGUAGGCGGACAGUAAAGUCAGCGGUAAAAAUGCGGGGUUAAACGCCGUACAGCCGUUGAAACUGGUAGUCUUGAGAGGGCGAGCAGUAGGCGGAAUGCGUGGUGUAGCGGUGAAAUGCAUAGAGAUCACGCAGAACUCCGAUUGCGAAGGCAGCAUACCGGCGCCCGACUGACGCUGAGGCACGAAAGCGUGGGGAGCGAACAGGAUUAGAUACCCCGGUAGUC